AUACCUUUCUCGACCUUUUGGCUAAGAUUAAAUGUAGUAUCUGUUCUUAUCAAUUUAAUAUCUGAUAAUGGAUAAAAGAAGACCACCACAAAAAUUAGGAUAAUGAUAAUGGAUAAAUUGAAGACCAUAAGAAAUUUUUAUUUCUUUUUGGAUUCAAACUUGAGAUCUCCAGACACUUUUGACCUUUGGAGUCCAAG
Molecule: small nuclear RNA, 197 nt
Organism: Cynara cardunculus var. scolymus (artichoke)
Lineage: Eukaryota; Viridiplantae; Streptophyta; Magnoliopsida; Asterales; Asteraceae
Product: U2 spliceosomal RNA
Exons: 1
Source: RefSeq, a predicted model, not a curated record